UGCCUGCAGGCUGGAGUUGCGGGCAUAGCUUGUGUCCCCUUGUCCUCCGUUCAUGUGCACCGUCUGCUCGGAAGCCAUGGAUCUUGCUCAAGCCGGCUGAGCUUCCGAUCUCGUGCCUGCAAGAUCCAGAUUAGGAAAACUGUCACUAUUAGGACCAGCCAAUCGAGGGCGAUAAAGGUCGAGUCAAAUCAAGAUAAGGAUAUACUAGCACUAUGAAGUUGUCAGCACAUGAGCCGAUAAUUGUUUUCAGUUGACGAAACAGUGAUUUCUGUUUGGUGAAUUUGUUCAACCGUUGGUUCAGUACCAGAAGCAAUCGUUUCCAAAUUUUAAUCUGCACAGAUACCGACUUCUCCUCUAGUCUAUUUUAGCGAUGAUAUCUGUAUAUGUGAGUGUUUCUUUAGUGUUUAUGUUGUUAUACAAUGAUGAGGUCUUUCUGUAUCC
Molecule: long non-coding RNA, 441 nt
Organism: Triticum urartu
Lineage: Eukaryota; Viridiplantae; Streptophyta; Magnoliopsida; Poales; Poaceae
Source: RefSeq, a predicted model, not a curated record